Molecule: ribosomal RNA, 424 nt
Filed under: uncultured bacterium
Lineage: Bacteria
Description: partial 16S ribosomal RNA
Rfam family: Bacterial small subunit ribosomal RNA
Source: RNAcentral
AAUUUUCGGCAAUGGGGGGGAACCCUGACCGAGCAACGCCGCGUGAACGAGGAAGGCCUUCGGGUCGUAAAGUUCUGUUGCGAAGGAAGAACGCCGGAGGGAGGAAAUGGCCUCCGGGUGACGGUACUUCGCGAGAGAGCCACGGCUAACUACGUGCCAGCAGCCGCGGUAAUACGUAGGUGGCGAGCGUUAUCCGGAAUCAUUGGGCGUAAAGAGGGAGCAGGCGGCCGUGAGGGUCUGUGGUAAAAGACUGAAGCUCAACUUCAGUGAGCCAUGGAAACCGGACGGCUGGAGUGCGGCAGAGGAUCGUGGAAUUCCAUGUGUAGCGGUGAAAUGCGUAGAUAUAUGGAGGAACACCAGUGGCGAAGGCGACGGUCUGGGCCUGCACUGACGCUCAUUCCCGAAAGCGUGGGGAGCAAAUAGG